UGGACGUGGCAGGCAGGACACGACAAGAUAUUAACCCUGCAUAUUUGAAUUUUUAUUUGAAUUAAUAAGGUCCAUCAGAAACUCUGCGUGUUGGUGGGACAUUAAGUAGCUUAAGCCAAAAUAUUCCUAAAGGAUUUUGCAGGCCUGUGAGGCUGCAUUAUCCAUUUAAUGCUUUCAUCUGCAGCUGUAAAGGUUGAAUGCCCGGGUUAUAGAGGAGCUGUGAAGUUUGCCGUCUUCCUUCGGGAUGCCUCUCCCAACGCAUCAGCGGAAAACACUUCAGCAGCAUUAGAUCCCUGCAAACCCGUAUUGGAUAAACGUUUGGAAGAUGACUGAAUGGAUGCAUGCUCUGUAUAUCUACCUGGAACGACUGCUUGGACCACAUGGACAUCUUUGUGGUUAUGGAAGGUGAAAGCCUCGUGUCAUGUGAAAUAAAGCUGGAAACACCUCUCACAGGGCGGAGCAUUGCCUUGCAAAGCAUUCAGAGGACAGAGUGACAUCCUGCCAGGAGAACACAAAG
Brienomyrus brachyistius is the source of this 517-nucleotide long non-coding RNA. RefSeq lists it as uncharacterized. The record is from RefSeq and is a predicted model, not a curated record. Lineage: Eukaryota; Metazoa; Chordata; Actinopteri; Osteoglossiformes; Mormyridae. The transcript has 3 exons.